RNAcentral lists this unclassified non-coding RNA (465 nucleotides) under Hevea brasiliensis (rubber tree). The record is from RNAcentral. Lineage: Eukaryota; Viridiplantae; Streptophyta; Magnoliopsida; Malpighiales; Euphorbiaceae.
GCCUCUCUCUCACUGUAAUGACCUUUCUUGACUAUCCUAUCAAAGAGCUCACCUCCCUCGCAUAGCUCCAUGACCAAGUGGACACAAUAGGCAUCCUCAUAGGCUCCUCUGAUCCUCACCACAUUAGGGUGCUCAGAUAGGUGGUGCAUUAUCUGAAUUUCUCUCCAAACAUCUUCAAAGUCUUCUUUGCAAAGAAGCUUUCUUUUGGGGAUAGAUUUGCAGGCAUAGUUAAGACAGGAGGGCUUAUGGGUGCAAAGAUAAGUGGUACCGAACUGGCCUUGACCGAGCUUCUUUCCUAUGGUAUAGUGGUCCCUGAGGUUCUGAGUCCGGUAGGGAAGAACCCAUUUGGGCUUUGAUAAAGUUGUGUGAGUGGAAGAAGUUGUUGAAGUCGAAUUGUCCAUUGGCAGAGGGGAAGAGAGGAAAAGAGGUUUGAGUAUUGGCUCUUGGGUCUUGAUGUGCUUGUCU